Molecule: small nuclear RNA, 149 nt
Filed under: Carlito syrichta (Philippine tarsier)
Lineage: Eukaryota; Metazoa; Chordata; Mammalia; Primates; Tarsiidae
Description: U12 minor spliceosomal RNA (ENSTSYG00000033861.1)
Rfam family: U12 minor spliceosomal RNA
About the family: Although the U12 sequence is very divergent from that of U2, the two are functionally analogous.
Source: Rfam by way of RNAcentral
AUGCCUUGCACUUAUGAGAAGGAAAAUAAUGAUUCAGGGUGAUGCCCGAAUCCUCACUGCUAAUAUGAGACGAAAUUUUGAGUAAGUAAAGGUUGCCGCUAAGGUGACCCGCCUACUUUGCGGGGUGCCUGGAAUUCUCAAUCUGCCUG